UCAAGCGCGAGAAGGGCGUUUGGUGAAUGCCUUGGCAGUAAGAGGCGAUGAAAGACGUGAUACUCUGCGAUAAGCCAUGGGGAGCUGAGAAUAAGCUUUGAUCCAUGGAUUUCUGAAUGGGGCAACCCACCUGACAGUUUGUUAUUAUUACUCUUCGGAGUGGUUAAUAACGGAUUGAACCAGGUACUUUUAGACUGAAUACAUAGGUUUAAAAGAGCAAACCCGGGGAACUGAAACAUCUAAGUACCCGGAGGAAAGGAAAUCAAUAUGAUACUCCCCUAGUAGCGGCGAGCGAACGGGGACCAGCCGAGCCGUAAUUGUGAAUAGAAUAACCUGGAAAGGUUAACCAUAGUGGGUGACAGUCCCGUAUAUGAAGCAUGAUCGGACGUAUUAAGUAGGGCGGAACACGUGAAAUUCUGUCUGAAGAUCGGAGGACCACCUUCGAAGGCUAAGUACUCCUUACUGACCGAUAGUGAACCAGUACCGUGAGGGAAAGGUGAAAAGCACCCCGACGAGGGGAGUGAAACAGCUCCUGAAACCGAACGCCUACAAACAGUUGGAGGGACCUUGAGUCCUGACAGCGUACCUUUUGUAUAAUGGGUCAUCGACUUGGUCUAUCUAGCAAGCUUAAGCCGUUAGGUGUAGGCGCAGCGAAAGCGAGUCUUAAUAGGGCGAAUGAGUUAGGUGGAUCAGACCCGAAACCGAGUGAUCUAGGCAUGACCAGGUUGAAGGUGCAGUAACAUGCACUGGAGGACCGAACCCACAUCUGUUGAAAAAGAUCGGGAUGAGUUGUGCCUAGGGGUGAAAGGCCAAUCAAACUCGGAGAUAGCUGGUUCUCUGCGAAAUCUAUUUAGGUAGAGCGUCAUCCGAAUACCCCGGGGGGUAGAGCACUGGAUGGGUAAUGGGGCCUCACCGGCUUACUGAUCCUAACCAAACUCCGAAUACCCGGGAGUACUAGAUGGCAGACACACAGCGAAUGCUAACGUCCGUUGUGGAGAGGGAAACAACCCUGACCUACAGCUAAGGCCCCCAAUUCAUGGCUAAGUGGGAAAGCAGGUGGGACGACCAAAACAACCAGGAGGUUGGCUUAGAAGCAGCCAUCCUUUAAAGAAAGCGUAACAGCUCACUGGUCUAAUUAAGUUGUCCUGCGGCGAAGAUGUAACGGGGCUCAAGCCAUGAGCCGAAGCUUAGGAUGCAAUUUAUUGCAUGGUAGCAGAGCGUAGUGUGACAUAGUUCCACGUCUCCUUAACCACUUCGGUGGCAUUGGAGACAUGGAGCUUUCUGUGAAGCCGGCGCGUGAGCGAUCCGGUGGAGAGAUCACUAGUGAGAAUGAUGACAUGAGUAGCGACAAAGAGUGUGAGAGACACUCUCGCCGAAAGUCCAAGGGUUCCUGCUUAAAGCUAAUCUGAGCAGGGUAAGCCGACCCCUAAGGCGAGGCCGAAAGGCGUAGUCGAUGGGAACCAGGUUAAUAUUCCUGGGCCAGAUGGAAGUGACGGAUCUCGAGGGUAGUUCAUCCUUAUCGGAUUGAAUGGGCUGCUUAGAGGUUCCUGGAAAUAGCUCCAUCGCUAGAUCGUACCCUAAACCGACACAGGUGGACUGGUAGAGAAUACCAAGGCGCUUGAGAGAACUAUGUUGAAGGAACUCGGCAAAAUACCUCCGUAAGUUCGCGAGAAGGAGGCCCGGUUUCUACGCAAGUGGAAGCUGGGGGCACAAACCAGGGGGUGGCGACUGUUUAUUAAAAACACAGGGCUCUGCGAAGUCGUAAGACGACGUAUAGGGUCUGACGCCUGCCCGGUGCCUGAAGGUUAAAAGGAGGGGUGAGAGCUCUGAAUUGAAGCCCAGGUAAACGGCGGCCGUAACUAUAACGGUCCUAAGGUAGCGAAAUUCCUUGUCGGGUAAGUUCCGACCUGCACGAAUGGCGUAACGACUUCCCCGCUGUCUCCAACAUAGACUCA
RNAcentral lists this ribosomal RNA (1955 nucleotides) under marine metagenome. RNAcentral's name for it is "bacterial LSU rRNA". It matches the Rfam family "Bacterial large subunit ribosomal RNA", at positions 1 to 2035 of the family's 2925-position model. The record is from RNAcentral. RNAcentral also lists the same sequence under 1 other name.